This 639-nucleotide long non-coding RNA is filed under the name Physcomitrium patens. RNAcentral describes it as "long non-coding RNA (PPAT_LNC004380)". The record is from RNAcentral. Lineage: Eukaryota; Viridiplantae; Streptophyta; Bryopsida; Funariales; Funariaceae.
AAUUUUUAGGAUUGUAUGAUCUAAAUAAAAACUAUCCGUUUACAUGAAAAAUAGAUAUACUAUGUUACAAGGAGAGCAUUACUUGGAGUCAAUAUUAUAAUGUUGUUAAAUGCUCAUUUGUCUCUCCAACCAGGGUCAAUACUUAUCAUAAACUUCCUCUGUUGAAUUUAUAGGAAAUUGAGUGCCAAGUAGCGUUUUCAGUAUGCAAUUCAUCCAUGUUCUUCAUAGAUCUCAGGGUGGGUAUUGACUGCACAUGACAAAUUACACACUGACUUUGUUGAAGUCGUGAUUAUACCAAACACACAAAUUCCGGCAUCAUCCAAGUAGGGACUCCAUGAAAAGAAGUCAAAAAUCAAAUCAAAUCAUAAUAAUAAAUGAAUUAAAUUAAAAAGUAAAAAUGCUGGUGAAUAUCUGAGAAGCAAGUAGUUGCGUUCAGUAACUUACCGACACAAUGUGUGUGCAGAGUACCGAUUCGAAGCACAACAAUGCCGUCUUCAAGACAAGAACGACCCUCAGGACAACAAAGCGCUGAAGCAGUGACACAGAUGAGAUGACACAUUGAUUUUUCCAACAUAGUGCCUGCUCAGCACAAGAUUAAUCCAUGUUUUCUUUGUGGUUUGUUUGGGAAAAAGAUGGGCC